AGAGUUUGAUCAUGGCUCAGAUUGAACGCUGGCGGCAGGCUUAACACAUGCAAGUCGAGCGGUAACAGAAAUAGCUUGCUAUUUGCUGACGAGCGGCGGACGGGUGAGUAAUGCUUGGGAAUAUGCCUUAUGGUGGGGGACAACAGUUGGAAACGACUGCUAAUACCGCAUAAUGUCUACGGACCAAAGGGGGGGAUCUUCGGACCUCUUGCCAUUUGAUUAACCCAAGUGAGAUUAGCUAGUUGGUAAGGUAAUGGCUUACCAAGGCGACGAUCUCUAGCUGGUUUGAGAGGAUGAUCAGCCACACUGGGACUGAGACACGGCCCAGACUCCUACGGGAGGCAGCAGUGGGGAAUAUUGCACAAUGGGGGAAACCCUGAUGCAGCCAUGCCGCGUGUGUGAAGAAGGCCUUCGGGUUGUAAAGCACUUUCAGUUGUGAGGAAAGGUGUGUAGUUAAUAGCUGCAUACUGUGACGUUAACAACAGAAGAAGCACCGGCUAACUUCGUGCCAGCAGCCGCGGUAAUACGAGGGGUGCAAGCGUUAAUCGGAAUUACUGGGCGUAAGGCGUUCGUAGGCGGUCGAAUAAGCAAGAUGUGAAAGCCCAGGGCUCAACCUUGGAACUGCAUUUUGAACUGUUCGACUAGAGUACUGUAGAGGGGGGUAGAAUUUCA
RNAcentral lists this ribosomal RNA (672 nucleotides) under uncultured Vibrionaceae bacterium. Its description in RNAcentral is "bacterial SSU rRNA". It matches the Rfam family "Bacterial small subunit ribosomal RNA", at positions 8 to 671 of the family's 1533-position model. Lineage: Bacteria; Pseudomonadati; Pseudomonadota; Gammaproteobacteria; Vibrionales; Vibrionaceae. The record is from RNAcentral.